GAGAAUGAUUAAGAAAUAUAGAGACUGCUAAUUAUCUACCCCGCAGUUAAACUCCGCGGCCUACUCA
This 67-nucleotide transfer RNA is filed under the name Gyrinophilus porphyriticus (spring salamander). Its description in RNAcentral is "tRNA-Ser". Lineage: Eukaryota; Metazoa; Chordata; Amphibia; Caudata; Plethodontidae. The record is from RNAcentral.